This 319-nucleotide ribosomal RNA is filed under the name uncultured eukaryote. RNAcentral describes it as "partial 18S ribosomal RNA". It matches the Rfam family "Eukaryotic small subunit ribosomal RNA", at positions 1470 to 1796 of the family's 1831-position model. The record is from RNAcentral.
CCCUUAGAUGUUCUGGGCAGCACGCGCGCUACAAUGGUCUUCGCAAACGGAUGCAUUCUCGAAGGAGAAUGCCAAUCUUGGAAUCUAUGCCUUGGUCGGGGCAGUUGCUUGCAAUUUUUCGACUCGAACCAGGAAUUCCUUGUAAUCGUGAUUCAUCACAUCACGAUGAAUACGUCCCUGCCCUUUGUACACACCGCCCGUCGCUCCUACCGAUCGAAGAGUUAGGUGAAUUGUUUUGAUCGAUAAGAUUUGACUAUGGUCAACUCUCGUUGUGAAAUUCUGUGAAGCUGACUGUUUAGAGGAAGGAAAAGUCGUAACA